AACGGAGGGUGCAAGCGUUGUUCGGAAUUACUGGGCGUAAAGCGCGUGCAGGUGGUCUUUUAAGUUUCGUGUGAAAUCCCAUGGCUUAACCAUGGAACGGCACGGAAAACUGGAAGGCUUGAGUACGGGAGAAGAGGGCGGAAUUCCCAGUGUAGAGGUGAAAUUCGUAGAUAUUGGGAGGAACACCGGUGGCGAAAGCGGCUCUCUAGACCGAUACUGACGCUCAUACGCGAGAGCGUGGGUAGCAAACAGG
Molecule: ribosomal RNA, 253 nt
Filed under: uncultured bacterium
Lineage: Bacteria
Description: partial 16S ribosomal RNA
Rfam family: Bacterial small subunit ribosomal RNA
Source: RNAcentral